RNAcentral lists this ribosomal RNA (433 nucleotides) under uncultured bacterium. Its description in RNAcentral is "partial 16S ribosomal RNA". It matches the Rfam family "Bacterial small subunit ribosomal RNA", at positions 29 to 507 of the family's 1533-position model. The record is from RNAcentral.
AACGAACGCUGGCGGCAUGCCUAACACAUGCAAGUCGAACGAGACCUUCGGGUCUAGUGGCGCACGGGUGCGUAACGCGUGGGAACCUGCCCUUAGGUUCGGAAUAACUCCCCGAAAGGGGUGCUAAUACCGGAUAAUGUCUUCGGACCAAAGAUUUAUCGCCUUUGGAUGGGCCCGCGUUGGAUUAGCUAGUUGGUAGGGUAAAAGCCUACCAAGGCGACGAUCCAUAGCUGGUCUGAGAGGAUGAUCAGCCACACUGGGACUGAGACACGGCCCAGACUCCUCGGGGAGGCAGCGGGGGGAAAUAGUGAAAAAGGGGAGAAAGCCUGACCCAGCAUGGCCGGGGGAGUGAGGAGGGCCUUGGGGUUGAAAAGUUCUUUUCCCCGGGAGGAUAAUGACAGUACGGGGAGAAUAAGCCCCGGCUAACUCCGUG